AAUUCCUCCUGACGACGGAUUAAAAAGAUGCUAGAACCAGGUGGCCGGUUUUGUGGCUGCAGAACCAGCGGCGCUGGGACCGCGGAGCCGGCUGCCCCUCGGCGCGCGUGCGGACGGAGGGCGCGUGCGGCUGCGCGGGAACGCGCUGAAGCGGCUGCGGGCAGCGCGCCGGAGCUGGGACGGAGCGGAGGUAUUACUACAGCUAAAGAAGUAAACAGCUCAUGGCACGUUUAACAAAAAGAUGACAGGUGGAUACAAAAGCUAUCCAGCAUCUUUGGGCAGCCAUUGAGAUUAUACGGAACCAGAAGCAAAUUGCCAACAUUGACCGUAUUACCAAAUUUCCAAUCAAGAUGUAAAGGGUGAAGAAUCAUAGAACAAAGAAUCAAUAACAAGUGAAAUUUAAGCCUUCAAUCAUGCAGAUUCCUAAUAUGAUUCAUAACUCAUUGUCAUGUUAUUUCUCUAAAUGCCAUGUAUAGUUUAAUGUCCAAUAAAAUAAAGUUACAUA
This is a long non-coding RNA of Lemur catta (Ring-tailed lemur), 505 nucleotides long. RefSeq lists it as uncharacterized. The record is from RefSeq and is a predicted model, not a curated record. NCBI's taxonomy places the organism in Eukaryota, Metazoa, Chordata, Mammalia, Primates, Lemuridae. The transcript is spliced from 3 exons.